UGAUUGGUCACUUUCUGUGUGAGUGUUGACAUGUCAACCUGUGAUUGGUCACUCUCUGUGUGGGUGUUGACAUGUCACCUGUGAUUGGUCACUCUGUGUGUGUGUUGACAGUGUCAUACUGUGAUUGGCCACUCUAUGUGUGGGUGUUGACAGUGUCACACUGUGAUUGGCCACUCUCUGUGUGGGUGUUGACAGUGUCACACUGUGAUUGGUCACUCUCUGUGUGGGUGUUGACAGUGUCACCCUGUGAUUGGUCACUCUCUGUGUGGGUGUUGACAGUGUCACACUGUGAUUGGUCACUCUCUGUGUGGGUGUUGACAGUGUCACACUGUGAUUGGUCACUCUCUGUGUGGGUGUUGACAGUGUCAUACUGUGAGGGACUGUAGGCAGUUAGCAGUGCCCAGUCGGGGUCAUGUCAUAAAUAAUAAUGAGGGAGAUUGGGAUUUGUGUUUCUGUUUUAAAGGAGUUGAACAUUUCUUUCACAACACAUGGGUCCCUUAAUGUUCUGAGUCCAGUUCCAGAAGCAACAGACUGAUACAACUAUUUUAACUCCCUUACUUUAACGUAGACCUAUGCUGGUCUCAGCACUAAAAUACCUUUGUACUUCCAUCUCAGUGUGUGUGAUGACCCAACGAAUCUUUAGGAAACCACUUGUACUUAGGGCUUUGAGCACUUUUUGUGUUAAUAUGUUGCUCAUUCUGUCUCUUAUUGACAUAGUUGAAUAAUUAGAAAUAGUUUUCUGUGUAUGAUAAAAAUAUGCGAGUGGAACAUUUCUACUGUUCAUAUUUCAUCAUAAACUGCCUUGUUUUUCCACGUAUGUUAGAGAGAUGGACGUGAUGUUAGUCCCAUAGACAUAAAGUGUGAAGGGAGAUAAUCAUGCACAACUACACAAUGUGAUACAGUGCCUCCACAAAGCAUAUCAUUGCACCUGUAAAUCUAACUUGAAUGACACCAUUAGUGGCGUGAUGGCUUUGUGGAAUCAGGUACCGCUUCACAGUAGACAUUUUGAACUAUUUUUACAUGUCGCAGAGAAAAUGUCUACUUAAAUUUUUAUCAUGCGAAAUAAAUUAUAUUUGAAA
Long non-coding RNA from Haliotis rubra (blacklip abalone), 1079 nucleotides. RefSeq lists it as uncharacterized. The record is from RefSeq and is a predicted model, not a curated record. NCBI's taxonomy places the organism in Eukaryota, Metazoa, Mollusca, Gastropoda, Lepetellida, Haliotidae. The transcript has 3 exons.